GAUGAACGCUGGCGGCGUGCCUAAUACAUGCAAGUCGAGCGAACAGACGAGGAGCUUGCUCCUCUGACGUUAGCGGCGGACGGGUGAGUAACACGUGGAUAACCUACCUAUAAGACUGGGAUAACUUCGGGAAACCGGAGCUAAUACCGGAUAAUAUAUUGAACCGCAUGGUUCAAUAGUGAAAGACGGUUUUGCUGUCACUUAUAGAUGGAUCCGCGCCGCAUUAGCUAGUUGGUAAGGUAACGGCUUACCAAGGCAACGAUGCGUAGCCGACCUGAGAGGGCGAUCGGCCACACUGGAACUGAGACACGGUCCAGACUCCUACGGGAGGCAGCAGUAGGGAAUCUUCCGCAAUGGGCGAAAGCCUGACGGAGCAACGCCGCGUGAGUGAUGAAGGUCUUCGGAUCGUAAAACUCUGUUAUUAGGGAAGAACAAAUGUGUAAGUAACUAUGCACGUCUUGACGGUACCUAAUCAGAAAGCCACGGCUAACUACGUGCCAGCCGCCGCGGUAA
This 513-nucleotide ribosomal RNA is filed under the name uncultured bacterium. RNAcentral's name for it is "partial 16S ribosomal RNA". It matches the Rfam family "Bacterial small subunit ribosomal RNA", at positions 28 to 523 of the family's 1533-position model. The record is from RNAcentral.